Molecule: ribosomal RNA, 225 nt
Filed under: Halomonas elongata
Lineage: Bacteria; Pseudomonadati; Pseudomonadota; Gammaproteobacteria; Oceanospirillales; Halomonadaceae
Description: partial 16S ribosomal RNA
Rfam family: Bacterial small subunit ribosomal RNA
Source: RNAcentral
ACUCCGUGAAGUCGGAAUCGCUAGUAAUCGUGCAUCAGAAUGGCACGGUGAAUACGUUCCCGGGCCUUGUACACACCGCCCGUCACACCAUGGGAGUGGACUGCACCAGAAGUGGUUAGCCUAACUUCGGAGGGCGAUCACCACGGUGUGGUUCAUGACUGGGGUGAAGUCGUAACAAGGUAGCCGUAGGGGAACCUGCGGCUGGAUCACCUCCUUAAUCGACGA